AUUGAACGCUGGCGGCAGGCCUAACACAUGCAAGUCGAGCGCCCCGCAAGGGGAGCGGCAGACGGGUGAGUAACGCGUGGGAAUCUACCCAUCCCUACGGAACAACUCCGGGAAACUGGAGCUAAUACCGUAUACGCCCUUCGGGGAAGAUUUAUCGGGGAUGGAUGAGCCCGCGUUGGAUUAGCUAGUUGGUGGGGUAA
Molecule: ribosomal RNA, 200 nt
Filed under: uncultured bacterium
Lineage: Bacteria
Description: partial 16S ribosomal RNA
Rfam family: Bacterial small subunit ribosomal RNA
Source: RNAcentral